AGCGAACGCUGGCGGCAGGCUUAACACAUGCAAGUCGAGCGGGCGUAGCAAUACGUCAGCGGCAGACGGGUGAGUAACGCGUGGGAACGUACCUUUUGGUUCGGAACAACACAGGGAAACUUGUGCUAAUACCGGAUAAGCCCUUACGGGGAAAGAUUUAUCGCCGAAAGAUCGGCCCGCGUCUGAUUAGCUAGUUGGUGAGGUAAUGGCUCACCAAGGCGACGAUCAGUAGCUGGCUGAGAGGAUGAUCAGCCACAUUGGGACUGGGACACGGCCCAAACUCCUACGGGAGGCAGCAGUGGGGAAUAUUGGACGAUGGGCGCAAGCCUGAUCCAGCCAUGCCGCGUGAGUGAUGAAGGCCCUAGGGUUGUAAAGCUCUUUUGUGCGGGAAGAUAAUGACGGUACCGCAAGAAUAAGCCCCGGGCUAACUUCGUGCCAGCAGCCGCAGUAAC
RNAcentral lists this ribosomal RNA (452 nucleotides) under uncultured bacterium. RNAcentral describes it as "bacterial SSU rRNA". It matches the Rfam family "Bacterial small subunit ribosomal RNA", at positions 29 to 524 of the family's 1533-position model. The record is from RNAcentral.